CAUCAUGCCCCUUACUGACCUGGGCUACACACGUGCUACAAUGGGCGGUACAAAGGGCUGCGAACCCGCGAGGGGGAGCGAAUCCCAAAAAGCCGCUCUCAGUUCGGAUUGCAGGCUGCAACUCGCCUGCAUGAAGCCGGAAUCGCUAGUAAUCGCGGAUCAGCAUGCCGCGGUGAAUACGUUCCCGGGCCUU
This 193-nucleotide ribosomal RNA is filed under the name uncultured Geobacillus sp. RNAcentral describes it as "partial 16S ribosomal RNA". It matches the Rfam family "Bacterial small subunit ribosomal RNA", at positions 1191 to 1382 of the family's 1533-position model. The record is from RNAcentral. Lineage: Bacteria; Bacillati; Bacillota; Bacilli; Caryophanales; Anoxybacillaceae.